AUGAUCGGAUCCUUCAAUUUAAGAUCGGAGUUAUUGAUCUUUAUCUAGAUAAUGAAUAGAAUUUUCUAUCAAAACUUCAACCUAUUCGGAUUCUUUUACACCGUUAAACUAGCAAGUAUUCCAUACCGGCCGUUAAAAAUUGUCAAUUUUGUGAGCUUUUGAUCGUAAGGUAAAUGAUGUCGAAAAAUUAUGAAAUUUGAUUUCUAGAUGUUUCAAAUGCUCUAGAUAACGUUUAACGGUGUGGAUCGUCGAUUCGGAAGCUCUAUCAUCGAAAAUAAUUUAUGAAUAUGAGGGCGAUCGUACUCAUAAUAGUAUAGUAGCCGAACUAUAUAUAUAUAUAUAUUAUAACUGAUUUUCUAUGCUUCCAAAAGUUAUUAGUGUUUCUAAGUUUUUGGUUAUUGGAUUAAAAAAUAUACCGUUAGUAUGGUAGUGGCUAUGAGGCUAUCUAUGGCUUAGUGGGUGGCUUGUUGAAUAGCAUAAUUUAAAAAAUAAAAUUGGUCAAAGAGAUAAAUUUAACGGUGAAAAAUUUAUAAGUAUAAGUGCUUGGUAAUUUUAAAAACAUCAUAAGUGGACUCUCUCUCUAUAUAAAGUG
This 592-nucleotide long non-coding RNA is filed under the name Ananas comosus (pineapple). RNAcentral's name for it is "long non-coding RNA (ACOM_LNC014387)". The record is from RNAcentral. Lineage: Eukaryota; Viridiplantae; Streptophyta; Magnoliopsida; Poales; Bromeliaceae.